UCCCAAGGGUUCGGCUGUUCGCCGAUUAAAGUGGUACGUGAGUUGGGUUCAGAACGUCGUGAGACAGUUCGGUCCCUAUCUGCCGUGGGUGUACGAGACUUGAGACGAUCUGUCCUUAGUACGAGAGGACCGGGAUGGACGCACCACUGGUGGACCUGUUGUCGUGCCAACGGCAGUGCAGGGUAGCUAUGUGCGGACGGGAUAACCGCUGAAGGCAUCUAAGCGGGAAACCCACGUCAAAACAAGGUCUCGCUAAAUAGAGCCGUGGAAGACGACCACGUUGAUAGGCCGGGUGUGUAAGGGCAGUAAUGUCUUCAGCUGACCGGUACUAAUCGCUCGAUCGGCUUCAUCAC
RNAcentral lists this ribosomal RNA (353 nucleotides) under Ancalomicrobiaceae bacterium. RNAcentral's name for it is "partial 23S ribosomal RNA". It matches the Rfam family "Bacterial large subunit ribosomal RNA", at positions 2563 to 2925 of the family's 2925-position model. The record is from RNAcentral. Lineage: Bacteria; Pseudomonadati; Pseudomonadota; Alphaproteobacteria; Hyphomicrobiales; Ancalomicrobiaceae.